CGUAUAUUAAAGUUGUUGCAGUUAAAAAGCUCGUAGUUGGAUUUGUGGCUGGUCACGGUGGGGUGCCCUAUUGGGUGAUCCUGUUUGUGUCUGCCAUCUUUGGGUGGAAUCUGGGUGUCAUUAGGUUGUCGCCUGGGGGAUGCCUAUCUUUUACUGUGAAAAAAUUAGAGUGUUCAAAGCAGGCUUAUGCCGUUGAAUAUGUUAGCAUGGAAUAAUGAUAUAGGAUUUCGAUACUAUUUUGUUGGUUUGCGUAUUGAGAUAAUGAUUAAUAGGGACAGUUGGGGG
RNAcentral lists this ribosomal RNA (285 nucleotides) under Nitzschia fonticola. RNAcentral describes it as "partial small subunit ribosomal RNA". It matches the Rfam family "Eukaryotic small subunit ribosomal RNA", at positions 598 to 888 of the family's 1831-position model. Lineage: Eukaryota; Bacillariophyta; Bacillariophyceae; Bacillariales; Bacillariaceae. The record is from RNAcentral.